UAGGGAAUAUUAGUAAUGGGCGAAAGCCUGAACUAGCAACACCGCGUGUGCGAAGAAGGCCUUCGGGUUGUAAAGCACUUUUUGGAAGGAAUAGGAAGGAAUGUACUUCCAGAAUAAGUCUCGGCUAACUACGUGCCAGCAGCCGCGGUAACACGUAGGAGGCAAACGUUAUCCGGAUUUACUGGGCGUAAAGCGCGUGUAGGUGGUACUGUAAGUAGGGCGUGAAAGCUCCUGGCUCAACUGGGAGAGGCCGUUCUAAACUACAUAACUAGAGGAUGGUAGAGGGAGGUGGAAUUCCAGGUGUAGCGGUGGAAUGCGCAGAUAUCCGGAGGAACACCAGUGGCGAAAGCGGCCUCCUGGACCAUUCCUGACACUCAGACGCGAAAGCUAGGGUAGUAAACG
RNAcentral lists this ribosomal RNA (402 nucleotides) under uncultured prokaryote. RNAcentral describes it as "bacterial SSU rRNA". It matches the Rfam family "Bacterial small subunit ribosomal RNA", at positions 355 to 774 of the family's 1533-position model. The record is from RNAcentral.